AGCUAAGAAAGAAACGCGUUCAACUAGUUUCGUAUAUUUUACUGCUCAUCAGGAAUUACGCCCCUCACAUCUCAACAGUCGAAGUCAGUAUGGAAAACCAGGCGAAAUAUUGGAGGAAACUUCAGGAAUAUCUUCUACUGAUAUAAAACAUAUCGAAGAACACAUAUCAUUCUGCUAUCUUUCGCUUAGGAUUUCUCGUUGCCGAAAUCGGAACUUUUUCGAUCAACAAUUUUAUCAAACCAUUCGGUCUUGUCGCAGUCAAACUAACCUGAUUGGCA
Molecule: long non-coding RNA, 278 nt
Organism: Octopus bimaculoides (California two-spot octopus)
Lineage: Eukaryota; Metazoa; Mollusca; Cephalopoda; Octopoda; Octopodidae
Source: RefSeq, a predicted model, not a curated record